Non-coding RNA from Pteropus alecto (black flying fox), 73 nucleotides. Lineage: Eukaryota; Metazoa; Chordata; Mammalia; Chiroptera; Pteropodidae. The record is from Rfam.
GGUUACAUAGUGUAGUAGUUAGCACAUCUGCUUUACACACAGAAAGUCCUGGGUUCACACUCCAGUGGAGCCA